AAAGCAAAAAAGCAAAAAAGCAAAAAAACAAAAAAGCAAAAAAACAAACAAAACCAAAAAAAACAACACGAAAACAAAUGGAAAGGGAAAAAUAAACAAAAACGAAUAAAAACGAACAAAAACUAACAAAAAAAAAAAAAAAAAAAAAAAAAAAAAAAAAAAAAAAAAAAAAAAAGAAGCGUGCCUUUCUACAAACUUAUUUGCUUAUUCAUUUAUAAAUUUUACUCUUUUCUUUGACUUUUCUUUAAUUUAUUUUAUUGAAGUUAACCAAUUUGUAAUAUAAUACUCAUAUAAGCUUUUUUAUUAAGAAAGAAACACAGAAUAUAAAUAUUGAUGCAAAAAACGUACAUUAUUUUACAAGUGUAAUUGUUAUAGUAUUUCUAUAAAAUUAGUAUAAAAAUUAAAAAAAAAAAAAAAUUGCAUGACAUGCACAUGAAUUAAAUGAUUUAAGUUACAUUAACGUUUGUUAUACAUUUUAUUUUCUUUCUUAUGUACUUAAUGAGAAGUUGUAUAUAUGUAUGCUGCUUGUAAAGAAUGUUGAAGAAUUGUUUAAUAUAUAUGUAUAUGCAUUUAUAGCAAAAAUUGUCAAAGUAAUUGAAAAUAAAAUUAACAUGCUAAUAAAUAAAAAUAAUUACAAAGUAGAGAACUUAUUAACUACGUUGUGAUUCAAUUAAAAUUGUGAAUAUAAUUAUAUAUAUAUAUACAUAUAUAUAAUUUUUUUUUUUUUUCUUAUUUUUUUUUUUAUUGUUUUCGCCGUUUUUCAGAUGAUGAUAUAAUGAAUCAAUUUUACUAAAAUGUUUUUUUCAAUUUAAUAAAUUAUUUUUAUUUAUUAUAUACUUCUUCCUGAGUUUUCUAUAUUUGUUAACUGUUUAAUAUCCCACAACAUUUUUUUCUUUUUUUUUUAUUUUGAUUUUGUUAUAUUUUCCUUUUUUUAUAUUUUUCCUUUUUUUUAAAGUACUAUAACAAUCAAUAUAACUUUUUACAUAUUUCAUUAUGAAGUUCAUAUUUGUGUUGCUUUUUAAUCUUAUAUUUUUAUUACCCAUUUUUGAAGUGGUAAUCACUAAUGGAGAAACUGCAAAGGCAAAAAAGAAAGUUUCAAGUUCGCAUUUAAAAUAUGAUAAGUAUACUUUGCGUAGUAGUUGUCAUACCUCAAGACUGCAAUCUGGUGAAAAGGGGUUGAUAAAUAAUUCAAAUUCGAGUAACAAUGUAUUCGUUUUAUAUUUCUAUGCGAAAUGGUGCCACGCGUGUAAACUACAGUCAGCAGAAAUUGAAAAAUUAGAAAGGUCCAUGAAAGCAAGAGUGCGCGUGAUAAAAAUUGACAUAGAUGAAAAUGAAAAAUUGGGUAGAAAAUUUGAUAUAAAUGUCCUACCUACAAUUAUAAUAGUAAAAAACAAAAUUAUUUAUGAAAAAAAAACAACGGUUUAUACCAUAUAAUAUUUUAAGUACAUUAGUUAGGAAAUAUUUAUAAGCGAUCUUUAUAGAGUUAUUAUUUUUUUAAUUUGUUUUUUAUUGUUUCUCCCUGUUUUUUUAUAUAUCCAUAUGGUUUCUUAUUUAUUUGUUUAUUUUUAAUUAUUGUUUUCGGCUUGUAAUUUCAUUACUUUAAAUAAAAGUUUGCUUCUUUUUUCA
This is a long non-coding RNA of Piliocolobus tephrosceles (Ugandan red Colobus), 1626 nucleotides long. NCBI's taxonomy places the organism in Eukaryota, Metazoa, Chordata, Mammalia, Primates, Cercopithecidae. The record is from Ensembl.